CAGGCCUAACACAUGCAAGUCGAGCGAACAGAAGGGAGCUUGCUCCCGGAUGUUAGCGGCGGACGGGUGAGUAACACGUGGGUAACCUGCCUGUAAGACUGGGAUAACUCCGGGAAACCGGAGCUAAUACCGGAUAGUUCCUUGAACCGCAUGGUUCAAGGAUGAAAGACGGUUUCGGCUGUCACUUACAGAUGGACCCGCGGCGCAUUAGCUAGUUGGUGGGGUAAUGGCUCACCAAGGCGACGAUGCGUAGCCGACCUGAGAGGGUGAUCGGCCACACUGGGACUGAGACACGGCCCAGACUCCUACGGGAGGCAGCAGUAGGGAAUCUUCCGCAAUGGACGAAAGUCUGACGCAGCAACGCCGCGUGAGUGAUGAAGGUUUUCGGAUCGUAAAGCUCUGUUGUUAGGGAAGAACA
RNAcentral lists this ribosomal RNA (418 nucleotides) under Bacillus sp. Lgg20.2. RNAcentral's name for it is "bacterial SSU rRNA". It matches the Rfam family "Bacterial small subunit ribosomal RNA", at positions 43 to 451 of the family's 1533-position model. The record is from RNAcentral. Lineage: Bacteria; Bacillati; Bacillota; Bacilli; Caryophanales; Bacillaceae.